Molecule: long non-coding RNA, 129 nt
Organism: Sphaeramia orbicularis (orbiculate cardinalfish)
Lineage: Eukaryota; Metazoa; Chordata; Actinopteri; Kurtiformes; Apogonidae
Exons: 3
Source: RefSeq, a predicted model, not a curated record
CAUUUUACACCAAUUAUUUACAUGUAUCACUAGGAUUAGUGGCUCAGCAGGUAUUAAACAGUUUAGAUCAGUAGCUGCUUUCGUUCGCCAGUGGCUGUCUGGGUCUUUAUGGGUUAAAUUUUGAAGUAA